AGACCCGAAACCCGGUGAUCUAGCCAUGGGCAGGUUGAAGGUUGGGUAACACUAACUGGAGGACCGAACCGACUAAUGUUGAAAAAUUAGCGGAUGACCUGUGGCUGGGGGUGAAAGGCCAAUCAAACCGGGAGAUAGCUGGUUCUCCCCGAAAGCUAUUUAGGUAGCGCCUCGUGAAUUCAUCUCCGGGGGUAGAGCACUGUUUCGGCUAGGGGGCCAUCCCGGCUUACCAACCCGAUGCAAACUGCGAAUACCGGAGAAUGUUAUCACGGGAGACACACGGCGGGUGCUAACGUCCGUCGUGAAGAGGGAAACAACCCAGACCGCCAGCUAAGGUCCCAAAGUCAUGGUUAAGUGGGAAACGAUGUGGGAAGGCCCAGACAGCCAGGAUGUUGGCUUAGAAGCAGCCAUCAUUUAAAGAAAGCGUAAUAGCUCACUGGUCGAGUCGGCCUGCGCGGAAGAUGUAACGGGGCUAAACCAUGCACCGAAGCUGCGGCAGCGACACUAUGUGUUGUUGGGUAGGGGAGCGUUCUGUAAGCCUGUGAAGGUGUGCUGUGAGGC
This 561-nucleotide ribosomal RNA is filed under the name Salmonella enterica subsp. enterica. Its description in RNAcentral is "partial 23S ribosomal RNA". It matches the Rfam family "Bacterial large subunit ribosomal RNA", at positions 711 to 1269 of the family's 2925-position model. Lineage: Bacteria; Pseudomonadati; Pseudomonadota; Gammaproteobacteria; Enterobacterales; Enterobacteriaceae. RNAcentral also lists the same sequence under 2 other names. The record is from RNAcentral.